GCGAGGUGAGCGCAACUCAUGGUAGUCUUUGCCAUCAAAGAAAAUAUCAACAGCAUCCAAAGAGUCAGGGAGGUCACCACCUUUGACGAGUAUAUUCCGGGGACCUAUAGCAUGCAAAAGUUUUGCAGCAGAGCACAUGUCAGCAACUGUUUCAAGUGGCAUCCCACCAAGUAAAGCUGAUGCCUCUUUUAUAUUUGGAGUUACUAUGUCAGCCAAGGGAAGGAGCUCCUCUCGAAAACUAGAAAGAAUGGAGGGACCAGCCAGCACAUCUCCACUUGUAGAUACCAUGACAGGAUCCACCAC
RNAcentral lists this unclassified non-coding RNA (303 nucleotides) under Hevea brasiliensis (rubber tree). The record is from RNAcentral. Lineage: Eukaryota; Viridiplantae; Streptophyta; Magnoliopsida; Malpighiales; Euphorbiaceae.